RNAcentral lists this long non-coding RNA (200 nucleotides) under Elaeis guineensis (African oil palm). Its description in RNAcentral is "long non-coding RNA (EGUI_LNC020293)". Lineage: Eukaryota; Viridiplantae; Streptophyta; Magnoliopsida; Arecales; Arecaceae. The record is from RNAcentral.
AAAAUUAUUAACAAAGAAAUUUUAUUUCAGAUUUAAACAUCUUUUAAAUCUAAUAAAUUAUAAAUUUAAUCUAGAUCAUAUCUAACAAAUUUAUGAUUAAAGAUAGAUCUACACAAACUAGGACAACCUUUGCACUGUAAGGGGUAAACCUUACAGCAGGACAACCUUGCAGUUUGUGAUUGAUCUAAAAUUUUAAUUUU